Molecule: ribosomal RNA, 301 nt
Filed under: uncultured bacterium
Lineage: Bacteria
Description: partial 16S ribosomal RNA
Rfam family: Bacterial small subunit ribosomal RNA
Source: RNAcentral
CAGUAGCCACGGUAAUACGAAGGGGGCUAGCGUUGUUCGGAAUUACUGGGCGUAAAGCGCACGUAGGCGGACAUUUAAGUCAGGGGUGAAAUCCCGGGGCUCAACCUCGGAACUGCCUUUGAUACUGGGUGUCUUGAGUGUGGAAGAGGUAAGUGGAAUUGCGAGUGUAGAGGUGAAAUUCGUAGAUAUUCGCAGGAACACCAGUGGCGAAGGCGGCUUACUGGUCCACAACUGACGCUGAGGUGCGAAAGCGUGGGGAGCAAACAGGAUUAGAUACCCCCGUAGUCCCUGUCUCUUAUAC